CUUUUUUUUUUUUUUUUUUUUUUUUUUUUUUUUUUUUUUUUUUUU
RNAcentral lists this non-coding RNA (45 nucleotides) under Alexandrium minutum. Lineage: Eukaryota; Dinophyceae; Gonyaulacales; Pyrocystaceae. The record is from RNAcentral.